UAUAAAUGCAUGUCUCCAGGCUUGUCUGCAUUACCUUUACCUGCUUAGACAUUUUCCAGUCCAUCAUCAAAGCCACAGAUUUUAAUAAGCUACAUAUCUCUGUAUAUGGUCUCUGUGUAUAUCUCUCCUACUUUGGAAAUAUUUAUCCUCAAAAUGAAUGUUUGUCACAGUUAACAAAGGGCAAGAAUCAGAGUUGGGAGAAUUUUAAAGCUUCUACGAUAACUAACAGUUUGAUGUAUUUCACUUCAUAGGAUGUAACAGGGUGAAUAUUCCAUCCCCGUCAUAAAUAAUGUAGUAAUUUUGAACCUAACAUAUUGCACGUGCUAGGGAAAUAUUCUGUCUCCAAGUUAUAUUCCUGGCUUGUAACUCCAUUCAUCUGCUACAGCUAAUACAGGGCAGACAUCAAGAUGAGCUUUAACUGUCUAUUUGGCCCCCAUAAGAAUGGCCAUGUGAGUAGCUGACAGAAUGCUUUGAAGACUAGGCAUGCUUAUCUGAGAUAGAAGAAGCGCGCCAGUACACAUUACACACUUUACACAGUUUAGUCUGAGAAUGGUUCAUAGUAAACUGUUAUCUCCCUCCACAAAUGCAAGAAGAAGAAACCGUGUUAAUCUAUCUGUAGCAUUUAUCAAAAGAACCAAAGCUAUGCUGAGGAUUCACAAGGAAGUAAGGCAUUAGUGAACACAGACUCCUUCCCAAUAAUGGAAAGAUGGACAGGGAGACACAUGCCACAGUUCAGUGAUUGGUAGUGUAGGAUGAAUGAAGUCUCAGCUGGUUCCAGUGUGUCUACAGGUAUUAUGUCAGAGUCAGUGAAGAAUGAGAAAGUGACCAAUGAAAGGGAGGAACUGAAAUGAACCACCUGCUUCUCUGGCUUUAGAGAUCUUAAAAGCUAUGGUUUGAGAGAAACAGACUUGAAUUUACAAGGAUAAUUGCUUCAUAUAUUAACUCUCUGACUUACUGUGAGUCUCAGGUCAGAUCCAUUCCAGGAGAACUUCAGAAGAAUAAAGCCCCCAUCUGAAAGAAACCUUUCCUCAAUACACUGUGACUUCUGCUGUAGUGAAAGAGUAGCAUCAACCAUCCCUCUCCCUUUCAAGCCUUGCAGAGACACACUCUCGGCCAGAGGCAUGUGGCUUUUGCUGUAGAUACCAUCCACCCAGACAAAUGUGAAGUUUCCACUUAACACUGCUUAGCUGGUGCAUCACAGGCAGGGUUACAAUAUGCAUCUCUGGCUGACUAGAUACAUAUUCUAGGAUGGCUACAAGAGGCCAGAGAUUUCCUGCCUGUGCUCCCAAAGAGCUUGGAUUAAAGACAUGAACAAUCACA
Long non-coding RNA from Peromyscus eremicus (cactus mouse), 1320 nucleotides. RefSeq lists it as uncharacterized. The transcript is spliced from 2 exons. The record is from RefSeq and is a predicted model, not a curated record. Lineage: Eukaryota; Metazoa; Chordata; Mammalia; Rodentia; Cricetidae.